AAUGUGCAACUGUGCAAGUAAAUAUAUAUAUAUAUUUUUUGUUGGUAACCAUGUUAAUGGUGCGAAGUAUGACUAAUUUCCGCCAAAGAACCCGGAUGACCACUUUUAGUGGGGGUCUCGCCUCCUAACCACAUUUUUUCAUUCACAAGACUCGAACUUGAUACCUUGCUUAAGGGAUAUGAGUUCAAUUCCAUGCUAAUGUGAUGUUGGUUUGUUGGCAUAUUGAAAAAAUAAUUUGCGUGUAAGUCUAGCAUUGUGAAAGUGUGGCGUUAUAUGGAAAUUACUUUUUCUCCAAAGAAUUUACUGAUGCAUAGCUGAAUCUGAAUGAGACUGGUCUUACACCAAAGUAUGUGGAAAUAUCUGGGAAGGGGAAACCAGAAAGUAACUAAUUGGGAAAAAAGGUAAGAGAAAUAAUACGCUAGACUACUUUAUAUUGGUCUACCGAUACACCAUUUACACACUCUUUAAAUUUUUUCAGUAAAGUCCUCCCAGGAGUGGAGUGUACUCAAUCUCGUCGAAGAUGCAACCACGGUUGUUCUCAAUCGGUAACUAUAGGCUGUGAAACAUUNNNNNNNNNNNNNNNNNNNNNNNNNNNNNNNNNNNNCUCCCUAUUUCUUCCAAAUACCAAUCAAAUUUUUACUCUCCUCAACAUGCCACCGGGGAAGAUGGCAGCAGUACUACCAUAGCUACCAUUAGCAUUUAGCACUUCCUCCAUCACCACAUGGAAACAGCAUAUUGACUUGUAACAUGUUUUUUGAUGUCAUUGCCAUGAAAACUUACUAACAAAUGCCCAUUACAAAUAAAGCAUAUCCCAACAGAACUAGAUCAAAACAAAAAUAAUAAUGAGUUUAUUACAAAAAAGAAAAAGAAAAAAAGAAGUCUAAAACCCAACAAAACAACAUACAGAAGCAAUAAGCACUAAAAUUUGAGUCUCCACAC
This 939-nucleotide long non-coding RNA is filed under the name Trifolium pratense (red clover). RNAcentral describes it as "long non-coding RNA (TPRA_LNC005807)". Lineage: Eukaryota; Viridiplantae; Streptophyta; Magnoliopsida; Fabales; Fabaceae. The record is from RNAcentral.